Molecule: long non-coding RNA, 732 nt
Organism: Physella acuta
Lineage: Eukaryota; Metazoa; Mollusca; Gastropoda; Physidae
Source: RefSeq, a predicted model, not a curated record
UUUGUAUAGACAACUUUAGCAUUCAGUAGGAGUUAAAACGAGAGUUUUGUGUCUAGAUCACUGAACGUUACAGUUUUAAAAAAUGUGUUUAACAUUUCCGGCAUGAAGCAACUUUAUGACAAAUCAAAGACAUAAAUUAUGGUUGUCAGCUGCUGACAGCACUUGUAUUCUGUGACCUCAUCUGUAUACGAGGAUUCGUGUCUGUUAAUUUCUUUGAUUUUAUCAGUAUUUUUAUAAGCUACAGAUGGAAACACGUGACACAACAGACGACUGACGCACAAGUAUGGCAGACGACAAACGUAUCUGGUCCAUCGUGUGCUGGAUGUUCUCAACCCAGCUGAUGUGCCCGGUGGCCAUGUCCAGCGAGCCGAUAGUUCUAGAAACGAACGGGUCCAACAACACAAACGUUGUGGCCAGUGAAGGCGAUCCUAUAAACAUUGUGUGCACCUCGUCUAACUGGACAGCACUCAACAAAGGGAAGAUAACUCUUGAUUGUCCUCAUAGCAUCAUCAACUCUACACAAAUUGGACGUGGUGCGGCUAUACGAGUUGAGUUUAGAGCUGAUAGGAAGAUGGAUGGACAACAUUGUACGUGUGCCGCAACGUUGCUGGACACACAGACAACUGUACAGAGUAACUUUACAUUUCAUAUCACUUGUACGUUGGAGUAGAAUUAUUUUAAAAUAUCAAAAUCUUUAUUGGUUUAUAUAUGGUGUAAUAAAACGUAAUUCAU